RNAcentral lists this long non-coding RNA (14278 nucleotides) under Durio zibethinus. RNAcentral's name for it is "long non-coding RNA (DZIB_LNC001854)". Lineage: Eukaryota; Viridiplantae; Streptophyta; Magnoliopsida; Malvales; Malvaceae. The record is from RNAcentral.
UUGGAUUCGAGAUAUUCAAAUUAAUUUCCACUUAAAAACCUGCUAAAACAAUGCCUUCAUAUUUUAAAGCUUGACUCCAGUGAAAAUCAUUUUCACAGGAAAACAUAAAAUUUCAAAAGCAUUAGGCUUCGAGUGCUCCCCCUGUGAACUGCUAAAACAGUUUAGCACAUAAUUAUUCACAUUAAGCACCGAUAACAACUUCAUAAAUAAUAUCCAAAUAUGAAGAUCACUCAUAUGUAAUUCCUCAAAAUCCUUAGAGCACCUAAAAAUGUAUCUAAAAAGCAAAUAAGUAUGAAACGCAGCGAAAAAUUAAAAUCGUGCGAUAAUCGUGCGAAUGGUUUUUAUGCCCAGAAUUGUUCAGAAACAAAGUCUGAUGUUUUUAAGCUGCAAAAUCCUUUAUAACUUUCACUUAACACUACGAAAAUUAUGAAAACCAACGCAAGUUUUGCCGAGUUUCUUUGUUUGAGUGAGUUAAAACAUUGGAUUCGAGAUAUUCAAAUUAAUUUCCACUUAAAAACCUGCUAAAACAAUGCCUUCAUAUUUUAAAGCUUGACUCCAGUGAAAAUCAUUUUCACAGGAAAACAUAAAAUUUCAAAAGCAUUAGGCUUCGAGUGCUCCCCCUGUGAACUGCUAAAACAGUUUAGCACAUAAUUAUUCACAUUAAGCACCGAUAACAACUUCAUAAAUAAUAUCCAAAUAUGAAGAUCACUCAUAUGUAAUUCCUCAAAAUCCUUAGAGCACCUAAAAAUGUAUCUAAAAGCAAAUAAGUAUGAAACGCAGCGAAAAAUUAAAAUCGUGCGAUAAUCGUGCGAAUGGUUUUUAUGCCCAGAAUUGUUCAAAAGCAAAGCCUGAUGUUUUAAGCUGCAAAAUCCUUUAUAACUUUCGCUUAACAGUAUGAAAAACUAAAACCAACGCAAGUUUUACCAAGUUUCUUUGUUUGAGUGAGUUUAAAACAUUGGAUUCAAGAUAUUCAAAUUUAUUUCCAUUUAAAAACCUGCUAAAACAAUGCUUUCAUAUUUUAAAGCUUGAGUCCAGUGAAAAUCAUUUUCAAAGGAAAACAUGAAAUUUCAAAAGCAUUAGGCUUCGAGUGCUCCCCCUAUAAACUGCUAAAACAAUUUAGCACACAAUUAUUCCAUUAAGCACCAAUAACAACUUCAUAAAUAAUAUCCAAAUAUGAAGAUAAUUCAUAUGUAAUUCCUUAAAAUCCUUAGAGCACCUAAAAAUGUAUCUAAAAGCAAAUAAGUAUGAAACACGACGAAAAAUUAAAAUCGUGCGAUAAUUGUGCGAAUGGUUUUUAUGCCCAGAAUUGUUCAAAACCAAAAGUCUGAUGUUUUAAACUUCGAAAUCCUUUAUAACUUACACUUAACACCAUGAAAAACAACAAGAAAAUUAAAAUUACGCGAAAUUUAUUUGAAUGUUUUUUAUGCCCAGAAUUGUUCGAAAACAAAGUCUGAUAUUUUGAGCUUCAAAAUCCUUUCUAAGUUACGCUUAAAACUGUGGAGAAAUAAAAAACCAACGCUACUUUUACCUUGUUUCAUUGUUUGAGCAGGUUUAAAACGUUCGAUUCAAUAGAUUCAAAUUCAUUUCCAUUUAAGAACCUUCUAAAACAAUUCUUUCAUAUUUUAAAGCUGGACUAUAGAGAAAAUCAUAUUCGAAGAGAAACAUAAAUUUUCAAAAGCAUUAGGCUUUUAGUUCUCCUUCUAUAAACUGCUAAAACAAGUUAGCAGACCACUAAUCACAUCAGGCGCCAAUAACAACUUCACAAAUAAUAUCGAAAUAUCAAGAUCAUUAACAUGCAAUCUCACAAGUUCCUUAGAGCACCUAGAAAAGUAUCUAAAAGGCAAUAAGUAUGAAACACAAUGAAAAAUUCAAAUCUUGCAAAAAUGGUUUUUAUGCCACAAUUUUGAAAAUUUGCAAAUGCUUUUUUAUGCCCAAAAUUGUUCAAAAAUGAAAUCAGAUGUUUUAAGCUUCAAAAUCCUUUAUAACUUACACUUAGCACUAUGAAAAAUUAAAACCAAUGCAAGUUUUACCAUGUUUCUUAAUUUGAGCAAUUUUAAAACAUCGGAUUCAAGAUAUUCAAAUUCAUUUUCGUUUAAAAUCCUGCCAAAACAAUGCUUUCGUAUUUUAAAGCUUGACUCAAGUGAAAAUCAUUUUCAAAGCAAAACAUAAAAUUCUAAAAGCAUUAGCCUCGAUUGCUCCCUUAUAAACUGCAAAAAUAAUUUAGCACACAAUUAAUCACAUCAAGCACCAAUAACAACUCCACAAAUAAUAUCCAAAUAUGAAGAUCAUUCAUAUGUAAUUCCUCAACUCCUUAGAGAGCCUAAAUUUGUAUCUAAAAGAAAAUAAGUAUGAACACGAUGAAAAAUUAAAAUCGUGCAAUAAUUGUGCGAAUGGUUUUUCUGCCCAGAAUUGUUUAGAAACAAAGUCUGAUGUUUUAAGCUGCAAAAUCCUUUGUAACUUUCGCUUAACACUAUGAAAAAUUAAAACCAACGCAUGUUUUACCAAGUUUCUUUGUUUGAGCAAGUUUAAAACAUUGCAUUCAAGAUUUUCAAAUUCAUUCCCAUUUAAAAACCUGCUAAAACAACGCUUUCUUAUUUUAAAGCUUGACUCCAGUGAAAAUCGUUUUCACAGCAAAACAUAAAAUUUCAAAAGCAUUAGGCUUCGAGUGCUCACCCUGUAAACUGGUAGAAAGCACAUAACAAUAUCCAACUUGACAAAUAAUAUCGAAAUAUGAAUUUUGAUUCAUAUGCAAUUCCUAACCAUCCUUAGAGCACCAAAAAAUGUAUCUAAAAGCAAAUAAGUAUGAAACACGAUGAAAAAUUAAAAUUGUGCAAUAAUUGUGCGAAUGGUUUUUAUGCCCAGAAUUGUUUAGAAACAAAGUCUGAUGUUUUUAGCUGCAAAAUCCUUUAUAACUUUCGCUUAACAGUAUGAAAAACUAAAACCAACGCAAGUUUUACCAAGUUUCUUUGUUUGAGUGAGUUUAAAACAUUGGAUUCAAGAUAUUGAAAUUUAUUUCCAUUUAAAAACCUGCUAAAACAAUGCUUUCUUAUUUUAAAGCUUGACUCUAAUGAAAAUCGUUUUCAAAGCAAAACAUAAAAUUUCAAAAACAUUAGGCUUCUAGUGCUCCCCCUGUAAACUGGUAGAAAGCACCUAACAAUAUCUAACUUGACAAAUAAUAUCCAAAUAUGAAUUUCAUAUUUAUGUAAUUCCUAAACAUCCUUAGAGCACCUAAAUAUGUAUGUAAAAGCAAAUAAGUACGAAAUACAAUAAAAUAUUAAAAUCGUGCAAUAAUUGUGCGAAUAGUUUUUAUGCCCAGAAUUGUUCAGAAACAAAGUCUGAUGUUUUAAGCUGCAAAAUCCUUUAUAACUUUCGCUUAACAGUGUGAAAAACUAAAACCAACGCAAGUUUUACCAAGUUUCUUUGUUUGGGUGUGUUUAAAACAUUGGAUUCAAGAUAUUCAAAUUCAUUUCCAUUUAAAAACCUGCUAAAACAUUUCUUUCAUAUUUUAAAGCUUUACUCCAGUGAAAAUCAUUUUCAAAGGAAAACAUAAAAUUUCAAAAGCAUUAGGCUUCGAGUGCUCCCCCUAUAAACUGCUAAAACAAUUUAGCACACAAUUAUUCACAUUAAGCACCAAUAACAAGUUCAUAAAUAAUAUCCAAAUAUGAAGAUCAUUCAUAUGUAAUUCCUCAAAAUCCUUAGAGCACCUAAAAAUGUAUCUAAAAGCAAAUAAGUAUGAAACACAACGAGAAAUUAAAAUCGUACGAUAAUUGUGCGAAUGGUUUUUAUGCCCAGAAUUAUUCGAAACCAAAAGUCUGAUGUUUUAAACUUCGAAAUCCUUUAUAACUUACACUUAACACCAUGAAAAGCAAGAACAAAAUUAAAAUCACGAGAAAAUUGUUCGAAUGUUUUUUAUGCCCAGAAUUGUUUGAAAACAAAUUCUGAUAUUUUGAGCUUCAAAAUCCUUUCUAAGCUUCGCUUAAAACUGUGGAAAAAUUAAAAAUCAAUGCUAGUUUUACCUCGUUUCAUUGUUUGAGCAGGUUUAAAACGUUCGAUUCAAUAGAUUCAAAUUCAUUUCCAUUUAAAAACUUUCUAAAACAAUUCUUUCAUAUUUUAAAGCUGGACUAUAGAGAAAAUCAUAUCCGAAGAAAAACAUAAAAUUUCAAAAGCAUUAGGCUUUUAGUGCUCCUUUUAUAAACUGCUAAAACAAGUUAGCAGACCACUAAUCACAUCAGGCACCAAUAACAACUUCACAAAUAAUAUCGAAAUAUCUAGAUCAUUAACAUGUAAUCUCACAAGUUCCUUAGAGCACCUAAAAAUGUACCUAAAAGCCAAUAAGUAUGAAACACAACGAAAAAUUCUAAUCUUGCAAAAAUGAUUUUUAUGCCACAAUUUUGAAAUUUUGCAAAUGCUUUUUUAUGCUCAAAAUUGUUUAAAAAUGAAAUCAGAUGUUUUAAGCUUCAAAAUCCUUUAUAACUUACACUUAACACUGUGAAAAAUUAAAACCAAUGCAAGUUCUACCAUGUUUCUUAAUUUGAGCAAUUUUAAAACAUCGGAUUCAAGAUAUUCAAAUUCAUUUCCGUUUAAAAACCUGCUAAAACAAUGCUUUCGUAUUUUAAAGCUUAACUCCAGUGAAAAUCAUUUUCAAAGCAAAACAUAAAAUUCUAAAAGCAUUAGGCUUCGAGUGCUCCUUUUAUGAACUGCUAAAAUAAUUUAGCACACAAUUAAUCAUGUCAGGCACGAAUAACAAUUUCACAAAUAAUAUCCAAAUAUUAAGCUCAUUCAUAUGUAAUUCCUCAACUCCUUAGAGCGCCUAAAUUUGUGUCGAAAAGAAAAUAAGUAUGAAUACAAUGAAAAAUUAAAAUCAUGCAAUAAUUGUGCGAUUGGUUUUUCUGCCCAGAAUUGUUCAAAAACAAAGUCUGAUGUUUUAAGCUGCAAAAUCCUUUAUAACUUUCGCUUAACACUAUGAAAAACUAAAACCAACGCAAGUUUUACCAAGUUUCUUUGUUUGAGUGAGUUUAAAACAUUGGAUUCAAGAUAUUCAAAUUCAUUUCCAUUUAAAAACCAGCUAAAACAAUGCUUUCAUAUUUUAAAGCUUAACUCCAGUGAAAAUCAUUUUCAAAGGAAAACAUAAAAUUUCAAAAGCAUUAGGCUUCGAGUGCUCCCCCUAUAAACUGCUAAAACAAUUUAGCACACAAAUUAUUCACAUUAAGCACCAAUAACAACUUCAUAAAUAAUAUCCAAAUAUGAAGAUCAUUCAUAUGUAAUUCUUCAAAAUCCUUAGAGCACUUAAAAAUGUGUCUAAAAGCAAAUAAGUAUGAAAAACAACGAAAAAUUAAAGUCAUGCAAUAAUUGUGCGAAUGAUUUUUAUGUCCAGAAUUGUUCAAAACCAAAAGUCUGAUAUUUUAAACAUCGAAAUCCUUUAUAACUUACACUUAACACCAUGAAAAACAACGACAAAAUUAAAAUCACGCGAAAAUUGUUCGAAAGUCUUUUAUAUCCAGAAUUGUUCGAAAACAAAGUCUGAUAUUUUGAGCUUCAAAAUCCUUUCUAAGUUACACUUAAAACAGUAGAAAAAUUAAAAACCAAUGCUAGUUUUACCUUGUUUCAUUGUUUGACCAGGUUUAAAACAUUCGAUUGAAAAAUGAAAUAGGUUGUUUUAAGCUUCAAAAUCCUUUAUAACUUACACUUAACACUGUGAAAAAUUAAAACCAAUGCAAGUUUUGCCAUGUUUCUUUAUUUGAGCAUGUUUAAAACAUCGGAUUCAAGAUAUUCAAAUUCAUUUCCGUUUAAAAACCUGCUAAAACAAUGCUUUCGUAGUUUAAAGCUUUACUCCAGUGAAAAUCAUUUUCAAAGCAAAACAUAAAAUUAUAAAAGCAUUAGGCUUCGAGUGCUCCCCUUAUAAACUGCUAAAAUAAUUUAGCACACAAUUAAUCACAUCAAGCACCAAUAACAACUUCACAAAUAACAUCCAAAUACGAAGAUCAUUCAUAUGUAAUUCUUCAACUCCUUAGAGCGCCUAAAUUUGUAUCUAAUAGAAAAUAAGUAUGAACACGAUUAAAAAUUAAAUCGUGCAAUAAUUGUGCGAAUGAUUUUUAUGCCCAAAAUUUUUCAGAAAAAAAGUCCGAUGUUCAUAAAGCUUCAGUGAAAAUCAUUUUCAAAGAAAAACAUAAAAUUUCAAAAGCAUUAGGCUUCGAGUGCUCACCCUAUAAACUAUUAAAACAAUUUAGCACACAAUUAUUCACAUUAAGCACCAAUAACAACUUCAUAAAUAAUAUCCAAAUAUGAAGAUCAUUCAUAUGUAAUUCCUCAAAAUCCUUAGAGCACCUAAAAAUGUAUCUAAAAGCAAAUAAGUAUGAAACACAGCGAAAAAUAAAAAUCGUGCGAUAAUUGUGCAAAUGAUUUUUAUGUCCAGAAUUGUUCAAAACCAAAAGUCUGAUAUUUUAAACUUCGAAAUCCUUUAUAACUUACACUUAACACCAUGAAAAACAACAACAAAAUUAAAAUCACGCGAAAAUUGUUUGAAUGUUUUUUAUGCCCAGAAUUGUUCGAAAACAAAGUUUGAUAUUUUGAGCUUCAAAAUCCGUUCUAAGUUACACUUAAAACAGUGGAAAAAUUAAAAACCAACGCUAAUUUUACCUUGUUUCAAUGUUUGAGCAGGUUUAAAACGUUCGAUUGAAAAAUGAAAUUGGUUGUUUUAAGCUUCAAAAUCAUUUAUAACUUAUACUUAACACUAUGAAAAAUUAAAACCAAUGCAAGUUUUACCUUGUUUCUUUAUUUGAGCAUGUUUAAAACAUCGGAUUCAAGAUAUUCAAAUUCAUUUUCGUUUAAAAACCUGCUAAAACAAUGCUUUCGUAGUUUAAACCUUUACUCCAGUGAAAAUCAUUUUCAAAGCAAAACAUAAAAUUAUAAAAGCAUUAGGCUUCGAGUGCUCCCCUGAUAAACUGCUAAAAUAAUUUAGCACACAAUUAAUCACAUGAAGCACCAAUAACAACUUCACAAAUAAUAUCCAAAUAUGAAGAUCAUUCAUAUAUAAUUCCUCAACUCCUUAGAGCGCCUAAAUUUGUAUCUAAAAGAAAAUAAGUAUGAACACGAUGAAAAAUUAAAAUCGUGCAAUAAUUGUGCGAAUGAUUUUUACGCCCAAAAUUGUUCAGAAAGAAAGUCUGAUGUUUUAAGCUCCAAAAUCCUUUAUAACUUGCAAUUAACACUAUGAAAAAUUAAAACCAAUGGGAAGUUUUAUAUGUUUCUUUGUUUGAGCAAGUUUAAAACAUUGGAUUCAAGAUUUUCAAAUUCAUUUCCAUUAAAAACCUUCUAAAACAAUGCUUUCUUAUUUGAAAGCUUUACUCUAGUGAAAAUCGUUUUCAAAGGAAAACAUAAAAUUUCAAAAGCAUUAGGCUUCGAGUGCUCCGCCUGUAAACUGGUAGAAAGCACAUAACAGUAUCCAACUUCACAAAUAAUAUGCAAAUAUGAAUUUCAUUCAUAUGCAAAUUGUAAACAUCCUUAGAGCAACUAAAAAUGUAUGUAAAAGCAAAUAAGUAUGAAACACAACGAAAUAUGAAAAUCGUAUAAUAAUUGUGCGAAUGGUUUUUAUGCUCAGAAUUGUUCAGAAAGAAAGUCUGAUGUUUUAAGCUACAAAAUCGUUCAUAACUUUUGCUUAACACUAUGAAAAACUAAAACCAACGCAAGUUUUACCAAGUUUCUUUGUUUUAGUGAGUUUAAAACAUUGGAUUCAAGAUAUUCAAAUUCAUUUCCAUUUAAAAACCUGCUAAAACAACGCUUUCAUAUUUUAAAGCUUAACUCCAGUGAAAAUCGUUUUCAAAGCAAAACAUAAAAUUUCAAAAGCAUUAGGCUUCGAGUGCUCCCCUGUAAACUGGUAGAAAGCACAUAACAAUAUCAAACUUCACAAAUAAUAUCCAAAUAUGAAUUUCAUUCAUAUGUAAUUCCUAAACAUCCUUAGAGCACCUAAAAAUGUAUCAAAAAUAAAAUAAGUAUGAAACACAACGAAAUAUUAAAAUCAUGCAAUAAUUGUGCGAAUGGUUUUUAUGCCCAGAAUUGUUCAGAAACAAAGUCUGAUGUUUUAAGCUGCAAAAUCCUUUAUAACUUUCACUUUACACUAUGAAAAACUAAAACCAACGCAAGUUUUACCAAGUUUCUUUGUUUGAGUGAGUUUAAAACAUUAGAUUCAAGAUAUUCAAAUUUAUUUACAUUUAAAAACCUGCUCAAACAAUGCUUUCAUAUUUUAAAACUUGACUCCAGUGAAAAUCAUUUUCAAAGGAAACAUAAAAUUUCAAAAGUAUUAGGUUUCGAGUGCUCCACCUAUAAACUGCUAAAACAAUUUAGCACACAAUUAUUCACAUUAAGCACCAACAACUUCACAAAUAAUAUCCAAAUAUGAAGAUCAUUCAUAUGUAAUUCCUCAACUCCUUAGAGCGCAUAAAAUUUGUAUCUAAAAGAAAAUAAGUAUGAACACAAUGAAAAAUUAAAAUCGUGCAAUAAUUGUGCGAAUGGUUUUUAUGCCCAGAAUUGUUUAGAAAUAAAGUCUGAUGUUUUAAGCUGCAAAAUCCUUUAUAACUUUCGCUUAACACUAUAAGAAACUAAAACCAAUGCAAGUUUUACCAAGUUUCUUUGUUUGAGCAAGUUUAAAACAUUGGAUUCAAGAUUUUCAAAUUCAUUUCCAUUUAAAAACCUGCUAAAACAAUGCUUUCUUAUUUUAAAGCUUGACUCCAGUGAAAAUCAUUUUCAAAGCAAAACAUAAAAUUUCAAAAGCAUUACGUUUCGAGUGCUCCCCCUGUAAACUGGUAGAAAGCACAAAAUGAUAUUCAACUUCAGAAAAAUAUCCAAAUAUGAAUUUUAUUCAUAUGUAAUUCCUAAACAUCCUUAGAACACCUACAAAUGUAUCUAAAGGCAAAUAAGUAUGAAACACAAUGAAAUAUUAAAAUAGUGCAAUAAUUGUGCGAAUGGUUUGUAUGCCCAGUAUUAUUCAGAAACAAAGUCUGAUGUUUUUAGCUGUAAAAUCUUUUAUAACUUUCGCUUAACAGUAUGUAAAACUAAAACCAACGCAAGUUUUACCAAGUUUCUUUGUUUGAGUGAGUUUAAAACAUUGGAUUCAAGAUAUUCAAAUUCAUUUCCAUUUAAAAACCUGCUAAAACAAUGCUUUCUUAUUUUAAAGCUUGACUCUAAUGAAAAUCAUUUUCAAAGGAAAACAUAAAAUUUCAAAAGCAUUAGGCUUCGAGUGCUCCCCAUAUAAACUGCUAGCAAACAAUUAUUCACAUUAAGCACCAAUAACAACUUCAUAAAAAAAUCCAAAUAUGAAGAUCAUUCAUAUGUAAUUCCUUAAAAUCCUUAGAGCACCUAAAAAUGUAUCUAAAAGCAAAUAAAUAUGAAACACAGCGAAAAAUUAAAAUCGUGCGAUAAUUGUGCGAAUGGUUUUUAUGCCCAAAAUUGUUCAAAAGCAAAAGUGUAAUGUUUUAAACUUCGAAAUCCUUUAUAACUUACACUUAACACCAUGAAAAACAACAACAAAAUUAAAAUCACGCGAAAAUUGUUCGACUGUUUUUUAUGCCCAAAAUUGUUCGAAAAUUAAGUCUGAUGUUUUGAGCUUCAAAUCCUUUCUAAGUUACGCUUAACACUGUGAAAAAUUAAAAACCAAUGUUAGUUUUACCUAGUUUCAUUGUUUGAGCAGGUUUAAAACGUUCGAUUCAAUAGAUUCAAAUUCAUUUGCAUUUAAAAACCUUCUAAAACAAUUCCUUCAUAUUUUAAAGCUGGACUAUAGAGAAAAUCAAAUUCGAAGAAAAACAAAAAAAUUCAAAAGCAUUAGGCUUUUGCUGCUCCUUCUAUAAACUGCUAAAACAAGUUAGCAGACCAGUAAACACAUCAGGCGCCAAUAACAACUUCACAAAUAAUAUCCAAAUAUCAAGAUCAUUCACAUGUAAACUCACAAGUUCCUUAGAGCACCUAAAAAUGUAUCUAAAAGCCAAUAAGUAUGAAACACAACGAAAAAUUCAAAUGUUGCAAAAAUGGUUUUUAUGCCACAAUUUUGAAAUUUUGCAAAUGGUUUUUUCUGCCCAAAAUUGUUCAAAAAUGAAAUCGGAUGUUUUAAGCUUCAAAAUCCAUUAUAACUUACACUUAACACUGUGAAAAAUUAAAACUAAUGCAAGUUUUAUCAUGUUUUUUUAUUUUAGCAAGUUUAAAACAUCGUAUUCAAGAUAUUCAAAUUCGUUUUCGUUUAAAAACCUGCUAAAACAAUGCUUUCAUAUUUUAAAGCUUUACUCCAGUGAAAAUCAUUUUCAAGGCAAAACAUAAAAUUAUAAAAGCAUUAGGCUUCGAGUGCUCCCCUUAUAAACUGCUAAAAUAAUUUAACACACAAUUAAUCACAACAAGCACCAAUAACAACUUCAUAAAUAAUAUCCAAAUAUGAAGAUCACUCAUAUGUAAUUCCUCAAAUCCUUAGAGCACCUAAAAUGUAUCUAAAAAGCAAAUAAGUAUGAAACACGAGCGAAAAAUUAAAAUCGUGCGAUAAUCGUGCGAAUGGUUUUUAUGCCCAGAAUUGUUCAGAAACAAAGUCUGAUGUUUUUAAGCUGCAAAAUCCUUUAUAACUUUCACUUACACUACGAAAAUUAAAACCAACGCAAGUUUUACCAAGUUUCUUUGUUUGAGUGAGUUUAAAACAUUGAUUCAAGAUAUUCAAAUUAAUUUCCAUUUAAAAACCUCUAAAACAAUGCUUUCAUAUUUUAAAAGCUUGACUCCAGUGAAAAUCAUUUUCACAGGAAAACAUAAAAUUUCAAAAGCAUUAGGCUUUCGAGUGCUCCCUGUAAACUGUAAAACAGUUUAGCCAUAUUUAUUCAAUAAGCACGAUAACAACUUCAUAAAUAAUAUCCAAAUAUGAAGAUCACUCAUAUGUAAAUCCUAAACAUCCUUAGAGCACCUAAAAAUGUAUCUAAAAGCAAAUAAGUAUGAAACACAACGAAAUAUUAAAAUCGUGCAAUAAUUGUGCGAAUAGUUUUUAUGCCCAGAAUUGUUCAGAAACAAAGUCUGAUGUUUUAAGCUGCAAAAUCCUUUAUAACUUUCGCUUAACACUAUGAAAAACUAAAACCAACGCAAGUUUUACCAAGUUUCUUUGUUUGAGUGAGUUUAAAACAUUGGAUUCCAGAUAUUCAAAUUCAUUUCCAUUUAAAAACCUGCUAAAACAAUGCUUUCAUAUUUUAAAGCUUGACUCCAGUGAAAAUCAUUUUCAAAGGAAAACAUAAAAUUUCAAAAGCAUUAGGCUUCGAGUGCUCCCCAUAUAAACAGCUAAAACAAUUUAGCAAACAAUUAUUCACAUUAAGCACGAAUAACAACUUUAUAAAUAAUAUCCAAAUAUGAAGAUCAUUCAUAUGUAAUUCCUCAAAAUCUUUAGAGCACCUAAAAAUGUAUCUAAAAGCAAAUAAGUAUGAAACACAGCGAAAAAUUAAAAUCGUGCGAUAAUUGUGCGAAUGGUUUUUAUGCUCAGAAUUGUUCAAAACCAAAAGUCUGAUGUUUUAAACUUCGAAAUCCUUUAUAACUUACACUUAACACCAUGAAAAACAACAAGAAAAUUAAAAUUACGUGAAAAUUGUUCGAAUGUUUUUUAUGCCCAGAAUUGUUCGAAAACAAUGUCUGAUAUUUUGAGUUUCAAAAUCCUUUCUAAGUUACACUUAAAACUGUGAAAAAAUUAAAAACCAAAGCUAGUUUUACCUUGUUUCAUUGUUUGAGCAGGUUUAAAACGUUCGAUUCAAUAGAUUCAAAUUCAUUUUUAUUUAAAAACCUUCUAAAACAAUUUUUUCAUAUUUUAAAGCUGGGCUAUAGGGAAAAUCAUAUUCAAAGAAAAACAUAAAAUUUCAAAAGUAUUAGGCUUUUAGUGCUCCUUCUAUAAACUGCUAAAACAAGUUAGCAGACCACUAAUCACAUCAGGUGCGAGUAACAACUUCACAAAUAAUAUCCAAAUAUCAAGAUCAUUUACAUGUAAUCUCACAAGUUCCUUAGAGCACCUUAAAAUGUAUCUAAAAGCCAAUAAGUAUGAAACACAACGAAAAAUUCAAAUGUUGCAAAAAUGGUUUUUAUGCCACAAUUUUGAAAUUUUGCAAAUGGUUUUUUCUGCCCAAAAUUGUUCAAAAAUGAAAUCGGAUGUUUUAAGCUUCAAAAUCCUUUAUAACUUACACUUAACACUGUGAAAAAUUAAAACCAAUGUAAGUUUUACAAUGUUUUUUUAUUUCAGCAAGUUUAAAACAUCGGAUUCAAGAUAUUCAAAUACAUUUCCGUUUAAAAACAUGCUAAAACAAUGCUUUCAUAUUUUAAAGCUUGACUCCAGUGAAAAUCAUUUUCAAAGCAAAACAUAAAAUUCUAAAAGCAUUAGGCUUCGAGUGCUCCCUUUAUAAACUGCUAAAAUAAUUUAGCACACAAUUGAUCACAUCAAGCACCAAUAACAACUCCACAAAUAAUAUUCAAAUAUGAAGAUCAUUCAUAUGUAGUUCCUCAACUCCUUAGAGCACCUAAAUUUGUAUCUAAAAGAAAAUAAGUAUGAACACAAUGAAAAAUUAAAAUCUUGCAAUAAUUGUGCGAAUGGUUUUUAUGCCCAGAAUUGUUCAGAAAAAAGUUUGAUGAUUUAAGCUGCAAAAUCCUUUAUAACUUUCGCUUAACACUAUGAAAAACUAAAACCAACGCAAGUUUUACCAAGUUUCUUUGUUUGAGCAAGUUUAAAACCUUGGAUUCAAGAUUUUCAAAUUCAUUUCCAUUUAAAAACCUGCUAAAACAAUGCUUUCUUAUUUUAAAGCUUGACACCAAUGAAAAUCAUUUUCAAAGCAAAACAUAAAAUUUCAAAAGCAUUAGGCUUCGAGUGCUCCCCCUGUAAACUGGUAGAAAGCACAAAACGAUAUCCAACUUCACAAAUAAUAUCCAAAUAUGAGUUUCAUUCAUAUGUAAUUCCUCAAAAUCCUUAGAGCACCUAAAAAUGUAUCUAAAAAAGCAAAUAAGUACGGAACGCAGCGAAAAAUUAAAAUCGUGCGAUAAUCGUGCGAAUGGUUUUUAUGCCCAGAAUUGUUCAGAAACAAAGUCUGAUGUUUUUAAGCUGCAAAAUCCUUUAUAACUUUCACUUAACACUACGAAAAUUAUGAAAACCAACGCAAGUUUUGCCGAGUUUCUUUGUUUGAGUGAGUUUAAAACAUUGGAUUCGAGAUAUUCAAAUUAAUUUCCACUUAAAAACCUGCUAAAACAAUGCCUUCAUAUUUAAAGCUUGACUCCAGUGAAAAUCAUUUUCGCAGGAAAACAUAAAAUUUCAAAAGCAUUAGGCUUCGAGUGCUCCCCCUGUGAACUGCUAAAACAGUUUAGCACAUAAUUAUUCACAUUAAGCACCGAUAACAACUUCAUAAAUAAUAUCCAAAUAUGAAGAUCAUUCAUAUGUAAUUCCUCAAAAUCCUUAAAGCACCUAAAAAUGUAUCUAAAAGCAAAUAAUUAUGAAACACAGCGAAAAAUUAAAAUCGUGCGAUAUUUGUGCGAAUGGUUUUUAUGCCCAAAAUUGUUCAAAACCAAAAGUCUGAUGUUUUAAACUUCGAAAUCCUUUAGAACCUACACUUAACACCAUGAAAAACAACAAGAAAAUUAAAAUCAUGCGAAAAUUGUUCGAAUGUUUUUUAUGCCCAGAAUUGUUCGAAAACAAAGUAUGAUAUUUUGAGCUUCAAAAUCCUUUCUAAGUUUCUUUGUUUGAGCAAGUUUAAAACAUUGGAUUCAAGAUUUUGAAAUUCAUUUCCAUUUAAAAACCUGCUAAAACAAUGCUUUCCUAUUUUAAAGCUUCACUCCAGUGAAAAUCGUUUUCAAAGCAAAACAUAAAAUUUCAAAAAGCAUUAGGCUUCGAGUACUCCCCUGUAAACUGGUAGAAAGCACAAAACGAUAUCCAACUUCAUAAAUAAUAUCCAAAUAUGAAGAUCACUCAUAUGUAAUUCCUCAAAAUCCUUAGAGCACCUAAAAAUGUAUCUAAAAAGCAAAUAAGUAUGAAACGCAGCGAAAAAUUAAAAUCGUGCGAUAAUCGUGCGAAUGGUUUUUAUGCCCAGAAUUGUUCAGAAACAAAGUCUGAUGUUUUUAAGCUGCAAAAUCCUUUAUAACUUUCACUUAACACUACGAAAAUUAUGAAAACCAACGCAAGUUUUGCCGAGUUUCUUUGUUUGAGUGAGCUUAAAACAUUGGAUUCGAGAUAUUCAAAUUAAUUUCCACUUAAAAACCUGCUAAAACAAUGCCUUCAUAUUUUAAAGCUUGACUCCAGUGAAAAUCAUUU